UGGAGAUAAAAAAGGGGAGUGACUAGGUUGAAUAGUCCCCUGUGUUAGCAUGUCUGACACCUAUUUCUCAAUCUCAUUUUUUUGAAAAUAAUUAUAUCUGUAGGUCUGAAAUUAACUGGUUCUGCAUCCUUCUUUAAGGGAAUAUGAUGAUCAUGGCUUCUUUGUGGUGGCAGGGCUUCUGGUUCAAUAAAUACAUCAGGAAAAUCAUCCAAGAUCAGCUGGAUUUCACAUGGAAUCACCUCUUUGUCCUCAACACUAGUAGCAGUAACAGUAAAAAGGUAAGCCUAAAUAGCUUGCCCUUUUUUGAAUAGUUAUUUUACACUAUCGGCCGACAUACUUUUCAACUCUAUUUGGUGGUAUAUUCCUUUAAAUUCCACCCGCUUAGCUUUGUGAGUCACCUCCACCGUAUAUUCUACAAAGUCCAGGAACACUGGAUUAUGGUCCUUCAUCAAGUCUCCGUCAAGAAUGAUAUCAUUUCCACCCAAUCUUACCAGUCUAAUGGAGUCCACAGAUUCAACCCCUUGUAUCUUCCACUUGAAAUUAGGACAGAAGUGUCAACUCAGAAUACGAAUCCCAUUUGUAUCGCGUUUUAGUUACCGUCAUUGUUAGGGCGAGGAUUUGCUUUGAUACUAAUUUGUACUGAAUUACCACUGAAAUUGUAAUGGAAUGACUCAAAUUGCACAAUACAAGUAGAAUUGAGGGUUUUUAUUGAUUUUUUUAGAGUUAUUAAAGUACUGCAGUCCAGUGCUACAUUCAAAUACUCUAAUGGCAGAAGCUUUUUAGCGUCUAUCCAUGGUGAUUCACCUAAAAUUGAGAGGUUGAGAAGAAGAAUUUAGAAGAAGGAACAGAAGGAAGAAGGAAGAGAGAGAAUUAUUGAGAGAGAGUAAAAUACC
Molecule: long non-coding RNA, 893 nt
Filed under: Capsicum annuum
Lineage: Eukaryota; Viridiplantae; Streptophyta; Magnoliopsida; Solanales; Solanaceae
Description: long non-coding RNA (CANN_LNC017960)
Source: RNAcentral